ACGAUUAGAGUUUGAUCCUGGCUCAGAACGAACGCUGGCGGCGUGGAUAAGACAUGCAAGUCGAACGCUGAUUUCAAGGUAGCAAUAUUUUGGAGUCGGAGUGGCGCAAGGGUGCGUAACACGUGGGCAAUUUGCCAUGAAGUUUGGGAUAACUCGCUGAAAGGCGAGCUAAUACCGGAUGUGAUGUUUGGGAGGCAUCUCUCGAACCUUAAAGUUGGGGACCGUAAGGCCUGACGCUUCAUGAUAAGCCCGCGGCCUAUCAGCUAGUUGGUGAGGUAACGGCUCACCAAGGCUAAGACGGGUAGCUGGUCUGAGAGGACGACCAGCCUCACUGGAACUGAGAUACGGUCCAGACACCUACGGGUGGCAGCAGUCGAGAAUUUUUCUCAAUGGGCGAAAGCCUGAAGGAGCGACGCCGCGUGGGGGAUGAAUGGCUUCGGCCCGUAAACCCCUGUCAUUUGCGAACAAACCUUACCGGUUAACAACCGGUGAGCUGAUUGUAGCGAAAGAGGAAGGGACGGCUAACUCUGUGCCAGCAGCCGCGGUAAUACAGAGGUCCCAAGCGUUGUUCGGAUUCACUGGGCGUAAAGGGUGCGUAGGUGGUAAGGCAAGUCAGGUGUGAAAUCUCCGGGCUCAACCCGGAAAUGGCAUUCGAAACUACCUUGCUAGAGGAUUUGAGGGGGGACUGGAAUACUUGGUGUAGCAGUGAAAUGCGUAGAUAUCAAGUGGAACACCAGUGGCGAAGGCGAGUCCCUGGAAAAUUCCUGACACUGAGGCACGAAAGCUAGGGGAGCAAACAGGAUUAGAUACCCUGGUAGUCCUAGCCCUAAACGGUGCUUGCUUGCUGUAAGAGGAAUCGACCCCUCUUGUGGCGGAGCUAACGCGUUAAGCAAGCCGCCUGGGAAGUACGGUCGCAAGAUU
RNAcentral lists this ribosomal RNA (921 nucleotides) under uncultured bacterium. Its description in RNAcentral is "bacterial SSU rRNA". It matches the Rfam family "Bacterial small subunit ribosomal RNA", at positions 1 to 895 of the family's 1533-position model. The record is from RNAcentral.